GUUAAAAUGUGGGCACUUUCUAACCCUUUUGAAUUUCUCAAAUAUGUUUACCUUUCUAGGUUUCUCUUUAUUUCUGUUUCCCUUUCAAAUAAGUGUAGAGAUUAAAUUGUAAAGCCUGCCUAUUUUUAGAUUUAAUCACCAAAAGUGUAAACACCUACUUACAGUAGUGGGGAGAUCUGCCCAUUUUUUAGAUUUAAUCACCAAAGGUGUAAACACACAUUAAGAGGGAGGUCUGUGACACACACAUGAAAUAGUGGGUAAUGAAUCAAAAUCAACUGACUUUUCCUGGGCCGUCCUAAAAGCAAAAGCAUCAACUGUGAUUGGUAGAUGUAAAAAUUAGGGGAAGUGAUGCAAAAGAAAGUGCCUUUAAAAGGGAGUGACAACUGCCUGAGUGCAGUUGGACUUGGAACUUUCACUUGGAGUGGAACCUCCUGUGAGAGAAAGUUCUACUGGGAGCUCUACUGGGAGUUUGAAUUGGGAUGGAGGCUGAUAAAGAAUCUGCUUACUGGACUGACAUGUGAUUUUCUGUCAGAGCCAGGCCUCUUAACUAUCAAUAAGAAAUAACAAAGCAAGAAGAGGGCCAACCCUUCAUCUGCAUAAGAAGAUAUUGUCAAAAAAUCAGCAGAAGAGAUAGUCAAAAUAUUGGUUUGACAAGAUUUUGCCUUUUCCUCUCUUGUGUUGCCUCCUAGAGGCUCCUUGCCAUCUGAGGAUAUGGCUUAUGGAGUCUGCUUUUGCUUCAGCCAUUCCAUUCAGCUACCUUCAUUUUUGGAUUACUCAGUAUGACCUCAUACCUAUGGUCUUUGGCUUUGAUGUAUUCCAUGCAAAUCAGUUACUUGUGAUGAUCACUCAUCUACCAAGAUUUCUCACCCACUUCUAUGACUUAACUACCCUUGUUUAUUGACCUAUACACUGGUAGACACAUCAUCUUCCUCCAAGUGUAAAUUCCAUUCAGUGCAUAAUAAAUAAUACUUGUAAGAGUAUGAGAAUAUAAAC
RNAcentral lists this long non-coding RNA (993 nucleotides) under Monodelphis domestica (gray short-tailed opossum). RNAcentral describes it as "lncRNA (ENSMODG00000041905.1)". Lineage: Eukaryota; Metazoa; Chordata; Mammalia; Didelphimorphia; Didelphidae. The record is from RNAcentral.